This 696-nucleotide ribosomal RNA is filed under the name Brachybacterium sp. RNAcentral's name for it is "bacterial SSU rRNA". It matches the Rfam family "Bacterial small subunit ribosomal RNA", at positions 69 to 776 of the family's 1533-position model. Lineage: Bacteria; Bacillati; Actinomycetota; Actinomycetes; Micrococcales; Dermabacteraceae. The record is from RNAcentral.
AUGACGACCGUGCUUGCACGGUCUGAUUAGUGGCGAACGGGUGAGUAACACGUGAGUAACCUGCCCCUCACUUCGGGAUAACCUCGGGAAAUCGUGGCUAAUACCGGAUAUGAGCUUCCAUCGCAUGAUGGUGGCUGGAAAGAUUUAUCGGUGGGGGAUGGACUCGCGGCCUAUCAGUUUGUUGGUGAGGUGAUGGCUCACCAAGACGAUGACGGGUAGCCGGCCUGAGAGGGCGACCGGCCACACUGGGACUGAGACACGGCCCAGACUCCUACGGGAGGCAGCAGUGGGGAAUAUUGCACAAUGGGCGAAAGCCUGAUGCAGCGACGCCGCGUGGGGGAUGACGGCCUUCGGGUUGUAAACCCCUUUCAGUAGGGAAGAAGCGAGAGUGACGGUACCUGCAGAAGAAGCGCCGGCUAACUACGUGCCAGCAGCCGCGGUAAUACGUAGGGCGCAAGCGUUGUCCGGAAUUAUUGGGCGUAAAGAGCUCGUAGGUGGCUUGUCGCGUCUGCCGUGAAAACCCGAGGCUCAACCUCGGGCGUGCGGUGGGUACGGGCAGGCUAGAGUGUGGUAGGGGAGACUGGAACUCCUGGUGUAGCGGUGAAAUGCGCAGAUAUCAGGAAGAACACCGAUGGCGAAGGCAGGUCUCUGGGCCAUUACUGACACUGAGGAGCGAAAGCAUGGGUAGCGAACAGG